Molecule: ribosomal RNA, 812 nt
Filed under: Nostoc sp. 'Nephroma parile cyanobiont 28'
Lineage: Bacteria; Bacillati; Cyanobacteriota; Cyanophyceae; Nostocales; Nostocaceae
Description: bacterial SSU rRNA
Rfam family: Bacterial small subunit ribosomal RNA
Source: RNAcentral
GAACGGUGUCUUCGGACACAGUGGCGGACGGGUGAGUAACGCGUGAGAAUCUGGCUUUAGGUCUGGGACAACCACUGGAAACGGUGGCUAAUACCGGAUGUGCCCUUAGGGGUGAAAGGUUAACUGCCUGAAGAUGAGCUCGCGUCUGAUUAGCUAGUUGGUGUGGUAAGAGCGCACCAAGGCGACGAUCAGUAGCUGGUCUGAGGACGAUCAGCCACACUGGGACUGAGACACGGCCCAGACUCCUACGGGAGGCAGCAGUGGGGAAUUUUCCGCAAUGGGCGAAAGCCUGACGGAGCAAUACCGCGUGAGGGAGGAAGGCUCUUGGGUCGUAAACCUCUUUUCUCAGGGAAGAACACAAUGACGGUACCUGAGGAAUAAGCAUCGGCUAACUCCGUGCCAGCAGCCGCGGUAAUACGGAGGAUGCAAGCGUUAUCCGGAAUGAUUGGGCGUAAAGCGUCCGCAGGUGGCUAUGUAAGUCUGCUGUUAAAGAGUCUAGCUCAACUAGAUAAGAGCAGUGGAAACUACAAGGCUAGAGUGCGUUCGGGGCAGAGGGAAUUCCUGGUGUAGCGGUGAAAUGCGUAGAGAUCAGGAAGAACACCGGUGGCGAAGGCGCUCUGCUAGGCCGCAACUGACACUGAGGGACGAAAGCUAGGGGAGCGAAUGGGAUUAGAUACCCCAGUAGUCCUAGCCGUAAACGAUGGAUACUAGGCGUGGCUUGUAUCGACCCGAGCCGUGCCGUAGCUAACGCGUUAAGUAUCCCGCCUGGGGAGUACGCCGGCAACGGUGAAACUCAAAGGAAUUGACGGGGG